AUUGAACGCUGGCGGCAGGCCUAACACAUGCAAGUCGGACGGUAGCACAGAGGAGCUUGCUCCUUGGGUGACGAGUGGCGGACGGGUGAGUAAUGUCUGGGGAUCUGCCCGAUAGAGGGGGAUAACCACUGGAAACGGUGGCUAAUACCGCAUAACGUCGCAAGACCAAAGAGGGGGACCUUCGGGCCUCUCACUAUCGGAUGAACCCAGAUGGGAUUAGCUAGUAGGCGGGGUAAUGGCCCACCUAGGCGACGAUCCCUAGCUGGUCUGAGAGGAUGACCAGCCACACUGGAACUGAGACACGGUCCAGACUCCUACGGGAGGCAGCAGUGGGGAAUAUUGCACAAUGGGCGCAAGCCUGAUGCAGCCAUGCCGCGUGUAUGAAGAAGGCCUUCGGGUUGUAAAGUACUUUCAGCGGGGAGGAAGGCGAUGCGGUUAAUAACCGCGCCGAUUGACGUUACCCGCAGAAGAAGCACCGGCUAACUCCGUGCCAGCAGCCGCCGCGG
RNAcentral lists this ribosomal RNA (506 nucleotides) under uncultured bacterium. RNAcentral's name for it is "partial 16S ribosomal RNA". It matches the Rfam family "Bacterial small subunit ribosomal RNA", at positions 29 to 523 of the family's 1533-position model. The record is from RNAcentral.